UAAAUCCAAGAAUUCUAUUUGUAAAUUUAUCUAUCAAUAUCAAAUCACGAAGUUGAAUUUUUUGAUAUUUUAUUUUUUUGAACAUGAAAGAGUCUUUAUCUUUAUUCUAUCAUUCACCAAACACAAUUAAAAAAAAUUCAGCUGACAUCAGGGCAACCAACCUCUAAACACAAACGUGCCAUCCUUAGAGGGUUUAAGCUCGAUUGCAAGUCAAAAUCAGAGUCAGGAACCUCUGAACCACUGGUAGUGAAUGAAGAGAUGACACCAAGAUAUAAACAAUGCUUUAACGAAACA
This 294-nucleotide long non-coding RNA is filed under the name Physcomitrium patens. RNAcentral's name for it is "long non-coding RNA (PPAT_LNC006109)". The record is from RNAcentral. Lineage: Eukaryota; Viridiplantae; Streptophyta; Bryopsida; Funariales; Funariaceae.